This 71-nucleotide microRNA precursor is filed under the name Paramuricea clavata. The record is from RNAcentral. Lineage: Eukaryota; Metazoa; Cnidaria; Anthozoa; Malacalcyonacea; Plexauridae.
UUUGUAUCACGUGCGGAAAUUGUUACCAUUUUCGGCUCAAAAAUGGUAACAAUUUCCACACGUAAUACAAA